AGGGGGGACCUGCGGAAGGAUCAUUACCGAGUGAGGGCCCUCUGGGUCCAACCUCCCACCCGUGUUUAUUUUACCUUGUUGCUUCGGCGGGCCCGCCUUAACUGGCCGCCGGGGGGCUUACGCCCCCGGGCCCGCGCCCGCCGAAGACACCCUCGAACUCUGUCUGAAGAUUGUAGUCUGAGUGAAAAUAUAAAUUAUUUAAAACUUUCAACAACGGAUCUCUUGGUUCCGGCAUCGAUGAAGAACGCAGCGAAAUGCGAUACGUAAUGUGAAUUGCAAAUUCAGUGAAUCAUCGAGUCUUUGAACGCACAUUGCGCCCCCUGGUAUUCCGGGGGGCAUGCCUGUCCGAGCGUCAUUUCUGCCCUCAAGCACGGCUUGUGUGUUGGGCCCCGUCCUCCGAUCCCGGGGGACGGGCCCGAAAGGCAGCGGCGGCACCGCGUCCGGUCCUCGAGCGUAUGGGGCUUUGUCACCCGCUCUGUAGGCCCGGCCGGCGCUUGCCGAUCAACCCAAAUUUUUAUCCAGGUUGACCUCGGAUCAGGUAGGGAUACCCGCUGAACUUAAGCAUAUCAAUAAGCCAGAGGAAUUACCGAGU
Molecule: ribosomal RNA, 592 nt
Filed under: Penicillium chrysogenum
Lineage: Eukaryota; Fungi; Ascomycota; Eurotiomycetes; Eurotiales; Aspergillaceae
Description: eukaryotic LSU rRNA
Rfam family: 5.8S ribosomal RNA (bases 203-355)
Source: RNAcentral